RNAcentral lists this ribosomal RNA (1074 nucleotides) under Triticum aestivum (bread wheat). RNAcentral's name for it is "partial small subunit ribosomal RNA". Lineage: Eukaryota; Viridiplantae; Streptophyta; Magnoliopsida; Poales; Poaceae. The record is from RNAcentral.
AUGGCGUCGCCGCCGACCGCCGCCCCCGCCGCCGCGCUUCGGUGCGCGGGCGCCCACGUAGGCCGCGUCCCCCUCCCGCGCCACGCCGGCGGCGCCUACCUCCGCUCCGCCCUCCCGUUCAGGUUAGGCGUGCUGUCGUCGAGGAGGUGCCGCGCGGGCGCUGGCGCCGUCGUGUCGGCCACGAGGAGCCCCGGUUUGGGCAAUGCAGGGAACCUGCGCGAGGGUUCGAACUUGGCUAAGAACUGGGAUUUGAGCAGACAAAUUGGUGAUGAGCACGGUGUUCUUAUAGAAUGCAGGGAUGUGCACAAGUCCUUUGGGGACAAGCAUGUACUGCAAGGCGUCAGCUUCAAGAUUAGACAUGGUGAAGCUGUUGGAAUAAUCGGUCCUUCGGGAACUGGCAAAUCAACUAUUUUGAAGGUUAUGGCGGGCCUUCUAGCCCCUGAUAAGGGCGAGGUGUUCAUCUGCGGAAAGAAAAGACAAGGCUUAGUUAGUGAUGAGGAUAUAUCAGGUCUCCGGAUUGGCUUGGUAUUUCAAAGUGCGGCAUUGUUUGAUUCUCUCAAUGUUCGUGAAAACGUUGGAUUUCUUUUAUAUGAAAACUCCAAGUUGUCUGAGGAGCAAAUAGGUGAACUAGUGACGGAAACAUUGGCUGCGGUAGGCCUAAAAGGUGUCGAGGAGCGAAUGCCAUCUGAAUUAUCCGGAGGCAUGAAAAAGCGUGUAGCCCUUGCUCGUUCAAUAAUAAAUGAUGACACAAAAGAAACAAUAGAGCCAGAGGCUCUUUUAUAUGAUGAGCCAACAGCUGGGCUUGACCCUAUAGCAUCCACUGUUGUUGAAGACCUUAUACGUUCCAUGCACGUGACAGGGAAAGAUGCUAUGGGUAAGCCGGGAAAGAUAGCAUCGUAUGCGGUUGUCACUCAUCAGCAUAGCACAAUAAGAAGAGCUGUUGAUAGGUUGUUGUUUCUCCAUGAGGGAAAGAUAGUUUGGGAAGGGAUGACGGAGGAAUUCACGACAUCAACAAAUCCCAUUGUACAGCAGUUUGCCUCUGGCAGCCUGGACGGUCCGAUUCGAUACUUCUGA